RNAcentral lists this ribosomal RNA (293 nucleotides) under uncultured bacterium. RNAcentral describes it as "partial 16S ribosomal RNA". It matches the Rfam family "Bacterial small subunit ribosomal RNA", at positions 773 to 1060 of the family's 1533-position model. The record is from RNAcentral.
GUGGAUUAGAUACCCGGGUAGUCCUGGCUGUAAACAUUGGGCACUGGGUAGUGGAACCGCCGAUGGUUUCACUGCCGCAGGGAAACCGUGAAGUGCCCCGCCUGGGGAGUAUGGUCGCAAGGCUGAAACUCAAAGGAAUUGACGGGGGCUCACACAAGCAGUGGAGUAUGUGGCUUAAUUCGAGGCUACGCGAAGAACCUCACCUAGGCUUGACAUGCAAGGAUUAGUCGGCGGAAACGUCGAUGACGCCGCAAGGUGGAACUUGCACAGGUGCUGCACGGCCGUCGUCAACU